This 429-nucleotide ribosomal RNA is filed under the name Gemmatimonadota bacterium. RNAcentral describes it as "Gemmatimonadetes bacterium partial 16S ribosomal RNA". It matches the Rfam family "Bacterial small subunit ribosomal RNA", at positions 355 to 776 of the family's 1533-position model. Lineage: Bacteria; Pseudomonadati; Gemmatimonadota. The record is from RNAcentral.
UAGGGAAUCUUCGGCAAUGGACGAAAGUCUGACCGAGCAACGCCGCGUGAGUGAAGAAGGUUUUAGGAUCGUAAAACUCUGUUGUUAGAGAAGAACAAGGACGUUAGUAACUGAACGUCCCCUGACGGUAUCUAACCAGAAAGCCACGGCUAACUACGUGCCAGCAGCCGCGGUAAUACGUAGGUGGCAAGCGUUGUCCUGAUUUAUUGGGCGUAAAGCGAGCGCAGGCGGUUUCUUAAGUCUGAUGUGAAAGCCCCCGGCUCAACCGGGGAGGGUCAUUGGAAACUGGGAGACUUGAGUGCAGAAGAGGAGAGUGGAAUUCCAUGUGUAGCGGUGAAAUGCGUAGAUAUAUGGAGGAACACCAGUGGCGAAGGCGGCUCUCUGGUCUGUAACUGACGCUGAGGCUCGAAAGCGUGGGGAGCAAACAGG